This 254-nucleotide ribosomal RNA is filed under the name uncultured bacterium. RNAcentral describes it as "partial 16S ribosomal RNA". It matches the Rfam family "Bacterial small subunit ribosomal RNA", at positions 524 to 776 of the family's 1533-position model. The record is from RNAcentral.
UACGUAGGGUGCAAGCGUUGUCCGGAAUUAUUGGGCGUAAAGAGCUCGUAGGCGGUUUGUCGCGUCUGCUGUGAAAACUCGGGGCUUAACUGUGGGCGUGCGGUCGAUACGGGCAUCACUGGAGUUCGGCAGGGGAGACUGGAAUUCCUGGUGUAGCGGUGAAAUGCGCAGAUAUCAGGAGGAACACCGGUGGCGAAGGCGGGUCUCUGGGCCGAUACUGACGCUGAGGAGCGAAAGCGUGGGGAGCAAACAGG